CGAUUUAUAGAAUCAAGCAACGGUUCGGCGUCGUUGUCUCGUUCGAUGGAGGUUUCCGGCAUUUCGACUGCGACUGACAUCUUAAUGUCAGGUGGAGAUGACGACAGAAUGCCGCCUUCGGCGAAUCCGAGCAAGGAUCGUAGAGAGGACGAGGAAGGUCAAAAUUGGAUUUAUGGAGGGGAAGAUUGAAAUUAAGUUAGAAGUUAAUGUAGACAUUUAAAAAUUAAUGUUUCAAUUCGUAGUUCGUUCUGCCUCAGAUUUUUUGUUAAUAAGAAAAUGGAAUUUAAAAAUGGCUGGCUGAUCCAGACCGAAUCCAAAUGCAGAAGUUGACGCUCUACUCAUUGAUUGUUAUGAGCAGGAAUUAAAAAGAAUUAAGAUCGGUGACUUGGAGAAAAUUUAGGGAAGAUGAUCACGUGCUUCAUUAAAA
Molecule: long non-coding RNA, 427 nt
Filed under: Nicotiana benthamiana
Lineage: Eukaryota; Viridiplantae; Streptophyta; Magnoliopsida; Solanales; Solanaceae
Description: long non-coding RNA (NBEN_LNC016139)
Source: RNAcentral